Molecule: ribosomal RNA, 515 nt
Filed under: uncultured bacterium
Lineage: Bacteria
Description: bacterial SSU rRNA
Rfam family: Bacterial small subunit ribosomal RNA
Source: RNAcentral
AGAGUUUGAUCCUGGCUCAGAUUGAACGCUGGCGGCAUGCUUUACACAUGCAAGUCGAACGGUAACAGGCCGCAAGGUGCUGACGAGUGGCGAACGGGUGAGUAAUGCAUCGGAACGUGCCCAGUCGUGGGGGAUAACGCAGCGAAAGCUGGCUAAUACCGCAUACGAUCUAUGGAUGAAAGCGGGGGACCGUAAGGCCUCGCGCGAUUGGAGCGGCCGAUGUCAGAAUAGGUAGUUGGUGGGGUAAAGGCCUACCAAGCCGACGAUCUGUAGCUGGUCUGAGAGGACGACCAGCCACACUGGGACUGAGACACGGCCCAGACUCCUACGGGAGGCAGCAGUGGGGAAUUUUGGACAAUGGGCGCAAGCCUGAUCCAGCAAUGCCGCGUGCAGGAAGAAGGCCUUCGGGUCGUAAACUGCUUUUGUACGGAACGAAACGGCUCUGGUUAAUACCCGGAGCUAAUGACGGUACCGUAAGAAUAAGCACCGGCUAACUACGUGCCAGCCGCCGCGGU